This 482-nucleotide ribosomal RNA is filed under the name uncultured bacterium. RNAcentral's name for it is "partial 16S ribosomal RNA". It matches the Rfam family "Bacterial small subunit ribosomal RNA", at positions 29 to 507 of the family's 1533-position model. The record is from RNAcentral.
AUUGAACGCUGGCGGCAUGCCUUACACAUGCAAGUCGAACGGUAACGCGGGGCAACCUGGCGACGAGUGGCGAACGGGUGAGUAAUGCAUCGGAACGUGCCCAGAAGUGGGGGAUAGCCCGGCGAAAGCCGGAUUAAUACCGCAUGAGACCUGAGGGUGAAAGCGGGGGAUCGCAAGACCUCGCGCCUUUGGAGCGGCCGAUGUCAGAUUAGCUAGUUGGUGGGGUAAAGGCCUACCAAGGCGACGAUCUGUAGCUGGUCUGAGAGGACGACCAGCCACACUGGGACUGAGACACGGCCCAGACUCCUACGGGAGGCAGCAGUGGGGAAUUUUGGACAAUGGGCGCAAGCCUGAUCCAGCCAUGCCGCGUGCGGGAAGAAGGCCUUCGGGUUGUAAACCGCUUUUGUCAGGGAAGAAACGCUCUGGGCUAAUACCCUGGGGUAAUGACGGUACCUGAAGAAUAAGCACCGGCUAACUACGUG